This 386-nucleotide long non-coding RNA is filed under the name Sorghum bicolor (sorghum). Its description in RNAcentral is "long non-coding RNA (SBIC_LNC011730)". The record is from RNAcentral. Lineage: Eukaryota; Viridiplantae; Streptophyta; Magnoliopsida; Poales; Poaceae.
UGUGGGGCUGUACGGCAGCUGACGCUGACAGUGACAGGCGACUGAUGCGUGCCGGCUGCCGCCGACCGCCGGUGGCUCGAUCUCGCCGGCUCCGAGCUGGCGCAAUGAAUGGCGGCACGUCGCUGCUGCCGGUGCUGUUGCCUGUUGGAGAUUUGGCGUCGAGAGCGUCCGUCGCCCUGUGACCAGUCGCUGUACCAUUCUUCUGAGGUCAAAUGACUUAUUGUUUUUUUUGUUUUGUUUUGUGUGUGUUUAUUGUUUAUCAUUACUUUUGUGAGUCUCACAAGUCACAAAGUGGCUGCCAUUUAUGAAAACAUUUGUCCAAACGUUCAAGAUUAGCAAUGAGAAAUUGGCAAAAUAAAAAAAAAAUCAUCUCUCCCUUCCUCGCU